This 1324-nucleotide ribosomal RNA is filed under the name Helicobacter fennelliae. RNAcentral describes it as "16S ribosomal RNA". It matches the Rfam family "Bacterial small subunit ribosomal RNA", at positions 28 to 1382 of the family's 1533-position model. The record is from RNAcentral. Lineage: Bacteria; Pseudomonadati; Campylobacterota; Epsilonproteobacteria; Campylobacterales; Helicobacteraceae.
AGUGAACGCUGGCGUGCCUAAUACAUGCAAGUCGAACGAUGAAGUCUCUAGCUUGCUAGAGAUGGAUUAGUGGCGCACGGGUGAGUAAUGCAUAGAUAACAUGCCCUUUAGUCUAGGAUAGCCACUGGAAACGGUGAUUAAUACUGGAUACUUCUUACGAGAGAAAGGGUCUCCGCUAAAGGAUUGGUCUAUGUCCUAUCAGCUUGUUGGUGAGGUAAUGGCUCACCAAGGCUAUGACGGGUAUCCGGCCUGAGAGGGUGAACGGACACACUGGAACUGAGACACGGUCCAGACUCCUACGGGAGGCAGCAGUAGGGAAUAWUGCUCAAUGGGGGAAACCCUGAAGCAGCAACGCCGCGUGGAGGAUGAAGGUUUUAGGAUUGUAAACUCCUUUUGUUAGAGAAGAUUAUGACGGUAUCUAACGAAUAAGCACCGGCUAACUCCGUGCCAGCAGCCGCGGUAAUACGGAGGGUGCAAGCGUUACUCGGAAUCACUGGGCGUAAAGAGUGCGCAGGCGGGAUAGCAAGUCAGAUGUGAAAUGCUAUGGCUUAACCAUAGAACUGCAUUUGAAACUGCUAUUCUAGAGUGUGGGAGAGGUAGGUGGAAUUCUUGGUGUAGGGGUAAAAUCCGUAGAGAUCAAGAGGAAUACUCAUUGCGAAGGCGACCUACUGGAACAUUACUGACGCUCAUGCACGAAAGCGUGGGGAGCAAACAGGAUUAGAUACCCUGGUAGUCCACGCCCUAAACGAUGAAUGCUAGUUGUUGCCCUGCUCGUCAGGGCAGUAAUGCAGCUAACGCAUUAAGCAUUCCGCCUGGGGAGUACGGUCGCAAGAUUAAAACUCAAAGGAAUAGACGGGGACCCGCACAAGCGGUGGAGCAUGUGGUUUAAUUCGAAGCUACGCGAAGAACCUUACCUAGGCUUGACAUUGAUAGAAUCUGCUAGAGAUAGCGGAGUGCUGGCUUGCCAGAGCUUGAAAACAGGUGCUGCACGGCUGUCGUCAGCUCGUGUCGUGAGAUGUUGGGUUAAGUCCCGCAACGAGCGCAACCCUCGUCCUUAGUUGUUAGCAGUUCGGCUGAGCACUCUAAGGAGACUGCCUUCGCAAGGAGGAGGAAGGUGAGGACGACGUCAAGUCAUCAUGGCCCUUACGCCUAGGGCUACACACGUGCUACAAUGGGGUGCACAAAGAGAAGCAAUAUCGCGAGAUGGAGCAAAUCUCCAAAACGCCUCUCAGUUCGGAUUGUAGUCUGCAACUCGACUACAUAAAGCUGGAAUCGCUAGUAAUCGCAAAUCAGCAAUGUUGCGGUGAAUACGUUCCCGGGUCUU